Small nuclear RNA from Sorex araneus (European shrew), 183 nucleotides. RefSeq annotates it as U2 spliceosomal RNA. The record is from RefSeq and is a predicted model, not a curated record. Lineage: Eukaryota; Metazoa; Chordata; Mammalia; Eulipotyphla; Soricidae. The transcript has a single exon.
AUGGCUUUUCAGCCGUUGGCUAAGAUAAAGUAUAGUAUCUGUUCUUCCCAGUUUAACAUCUGAUAUAUCAUCUAUCAGAAAACAAUAUUUUCUAUGUAUUUUUGGAGCAGGGUGCUGGACUAGGCCCUUGUAUCUUCCAGUUUACACAUCAGCCUAGCAUUGUUCCCCUUGGGAGUAAAUUGG